This is a non-coding RNA of Kalmusia sp. IMI 367209, 93 nucleotides long. The record is from the annotation of a GenBank genome assembly. NCBI's taxonomy places the organism in Eukaryota, Fungi, Ascomycota, Dothideomycetes, Pleosporales, Didymosphaeriaceae.
UCCUCCGUGGCGCAAUUGGCUAGCGCGUCUGACUGUUAUACACUCACGUGUACGGCGAUCAGGAGGUUCGUGGUUCGAGCCCACGCGGGGGAG